GACGAACGCUGGCGGCGUGCUUAACACAUGCAAGUCGAACGCUGAAGACCUGGCUUUUGUUGGGUUGGAUGAGUGGCGCACGGGUGAGUAACACGUGAGUAACCUGCCCUCUUCUUUGGGAUAACGCCCGGAAACGGGUGCUAAUACUGGAUAUUCACUGAUCUUCGCAUGGGGGUUGGUGGAAAGGUUUGUUCUGGUGGGGGAUGGGCUCGCGGCCUAUCAGCUUGUUGGUGGGGUGAUGGCCUACCAAGGCUUUGACGGGUAGCCGGCCUGAGAGGGUGACCGGUCACAUUGGGACUGAGAUACGGCCCAGACUCCUACGGGAGGCAGCAGUGGGGAAUAGUGCACAAUGGGCGAAAGCCUGAUGCAGCGACGCCGCGUGAGGGAUGGAGGCCUUCGGGUUGUAAACCUCUUUCGCUCAUGGUCAAGCCGCAACUGUGGGUUGUGGUGAGGGUAGUGGGUAAAGAAGCGCCGGCUAACUACGUG
This 486-nucleotide ribosomal RNA is filed under the name uncultured bacterium. Its description in RNAcentral is "partial 16S ribosomal RNA". It matches the Rfam family "Bacterial small subunit ribosomal RNA", at positions 28 to 507 of the family's 1533-position model. The record is from RNAcentral.